This 185-nucleotide non-coding RNA is filed under the name Caldanaerovirga acetigignens. RNAcentral's name for it is "6S / SsrS RNA". It matches the Rfam family "6S / SsrS RNA". From Rfam's summary of the family: E. coli 6S RNA was the first non coding RNA to be sequenced, but its function was unknown until recently. It consists of 184 nucleotides that fold into an extended hairpin structure with a large single-stranded internal bulge. The record is from RNAcentral. Lineage: Bacteria; Bacillati; Bacillota; Clostridia; Thermosediminibacterales; Thermosediminibacteraceae. RNAcentral also lists the same sequence under 1 other name.
AUUUCCCUGCUGUGUGCGUGGACCUGACAGAGGAAAGAGCCAACACUAUGACAUAGGGAGUCCGGACUCUGGAUGUGGAUUGUAUGCCCUCCUUAUGAGAGGGAAACAUGAAUCAUCCAGGAGGACACCCACCUGGGAGAGCAGGGUCUCUGUUCCUUGUCAGUACACGGCAUGGCGGGGUUUUU